GCAGUCUGAAACUCGAGUGCAUGAAGCUGGAAUCGCUAGUAAUCGCAAAUCAGAAUGUUGCGGUGAAUACGUUCCCGGGUCUUGUACACACCGCCCGUCACACCAUGGGAGUUGGAAAUGCCCGAAGUCAGUGACCCAACCUAAGGGAGGGAGCUGCCGAAGGCAGGUUCGAUGACUGGGGUGAAGUCGUAACAAGGUAAC
Molecule: ribosomal RNA, 201 nt
Filed under: uncultured bacterium
Lineage: Bacteria
Description: partial 16S ribosomal RNA
Rfam family: Bacterial small subunit ribosomal RNA
Source: RNAcentral